GAACGCUGGCGGCGUGCUUAACACAUGCAAGUCGAACGCGAACNNUUUCUUCGNAAACUUAGUAGAGUGGCGCACGGGUGAGUANCGNGUAAGUUAUCUANCCUNCCAUCUGGAAUAACUCACCGAAANGUGUGNUAAUACCNGAUNCGUUGAUUUNUCAAGAAAGGUGGCCUCUAUUUAUAAGCUACCGUGGGGGGAUGAGCNUGCGUACCAUUAGCUAGUUGGUAGGGUAAUGGCCUACCAAGGCNACGAUGGUUAGCGGGUCUGAGAGGAUGAUCCGCCACACUGGAACUGGAACACGGUCCAGACUCCUACGGGAGGCAGCAGUGAGGAAUNUUGCGCAAUGGNGGAAACCCUGACNCAGCGACAGCCGCGUGGAUGAUGAAGGCCUUUGGGUCGUAAAAUCCUGUCAGNUGGAAAGA
Molecule: ribosomal RNA, 422 nt
Filed under: uncultured Desulfobacterales bacterium
Lineage: Bacteria; Pseudomonadati; Thermodesulfobacteriota; Desulfobacteria; Desulfobacterales
Description: partial 16S ribosomal RNA
Rfam family: Bacterial small subunit ribosomal RNA
Source: RNAcentral